Molecule: long non-coding RNA, 374 nt
Organism: Nannospalax galili (Upper Galilee mountains blind mole rat)
Lineage: Eukaryota; Metazoa; Chordata; Mammalia; Rodentia; Spalacidae
Exons: 3
Source: RefSeq, a predicted model, not a curated record
GGAAUUUAAAGGUGCAUCUCAAACUAGUGAAUGUGUUUCCCAGAGACAGAGAAACAGCCUGAGCGUCCAGAAAUUCCCAUGGAUGUGCAAGAGGAGGACAUAGUAUCGGAAUCUCAAGCUUGUGUAUCUUCCGGGGCAAAUAAAGACCUGUGCACAGGGGCGCAGUGCUGCAGGGAAGGUUUUGUGAAUCCUCUUCCAGGCACAAUUCCCUUCUAGGCCCACAAGAAAAGACAAGGCAGGCUUUGGCACUUAGUCUCUGGGCUAAAUUGAGAGUCAUCUUAAUCUUAAUGGGAAUCGUUUGUACCUGUCACUUACCUGGAGCCUGGCAAAUGGAGACAGCCCAGGGCAGCACAUAGAAGACACACCUCUGCCAG